RNAcentral lists this long non-coding RNA (223 nucleotides) under Gallus gallus (chicken). The record is from RNAcentral. Lineage: Eukaryota; Metazoa; Chordata; Aves; Galliformes; Phasianidae.
AGAGUCUCCAUCAGCUUGUUGAGUGAUGCCUGGAACUGGGCACUGAUGCUGGGUGGUUUCUUCUUCUUAUGGAGAUGGAGAAGGGAUUUUGUAAUGUGGUCGUGAAGCGUCAGGUUGGUCAGGUGCUUGAGGGACUUCACAUCCAGCAUGUGCUUUGGGAGAUUGGGUUUGGCUUUGAAGUUCUUAUUUCGCCUGGGGAGACAAUAAAUGGCUGAGAUUAAUC